RNAcentral lists this unclassified non-coding RNA (155 nucleotides) under uncultured Pyrenochaeta. Its description in RNAcentral is "partial internal transcribed spacer 2". The record is from RNAcentral. Lineage: Eukaryota; Fungi; Ascomycota; Dothideomycetes; Pleosporales; Pleosporaceae.
GUACCCUCAAGCUCUGCUUGGUGUUGGGUGUUUGUCCUGCCUUGCGUAUGGACUCGCCUUAAAGUUAUUGGCAGCCGGCGUAUUGUCCGUGGAGCGUAGCACAUUUUACGCGCCUGGUAUCAAAUCGUUGGCGUCCAUAAAGCCUAACUUAUCAC